RNAcentral lists this ribosomal RNA (504 nucleotides) under uncultured bacterium. Its description in RNAcentral is "partial 16S ribosomal RNA". It matches the Rfam family "Bacterial small subunit ribosomal RNA", at positions 355 to 850 of the family's 1533-position model. The record is from RNAcentral.
UAGGGAAUCUUCCACAAUGGACGCAAGUCUGAUGGAGCAACGCCGCGUGAGUGAAGAAGGUUUUCGGAUCGUAAAGCUCUGUUGUUGGUGAAGAAGGAUAGAGGCAGUAACUGGUCUUUAUUUGACGGUAAUCAACCAGAAAGUCACGGCUAACUACGUGCCAGCAGCCGCGGUAAUACGUAGGUGGCAAGCGUUGUCCGGAUUUAUUGGGCGUAAAGCGAGCGCAGGCGGAAUGAUAAGUCUGAUGUGAAAGCCCACGGCUCAACCGUGGAACUGCAUCGGAAACUGUCAUUCUUGAGUGCAGAAGAGGAGAGUGGAACUCCAUGUGUAGCGGUGGAAUGCGUAGAUAUAUGGAAGAACACCAGUGGCGAAGGCGGCUCUCUGGUCUGCAACUGACGCUGAGGCUCGAAAGCAUGGGUAGCGAACAGGAUUAGAUACCCUGGUAGUCCAUGCCGUAAACGAUGAGCGCUAGGUGUUGGGGACUUUCCGGUCCUCAGUGCCGCA